Amblyraja radiata (thorny skate) is the source of this 168-nucleotide long non-coding RNA. RefSeq lists it as uncharacterized. The record is from RefSeq and is a predicted model, not a curated record. The transcript has 3 exons. Lineage: Eukaryota; Metazoa; Chordata; Chondrichthyes; Rajiformes; Rajidae.
CCCUGCACAUCUCCUUCAGAUCGCUGCAAUUUUGACUUAAUUUACUUAAAGGUAUUUAAGUACUGAAUUUUGUUUCUUUUAAAUUUUGUUGAUGGAUUUGACUAUAUGUUUAAAUAUUCAAUAUUUUAUUUAGCCCCCUCACAACAUUCAAACUGUUUGAUAGUUUAG